Molecule: long non-coding RNA, 1474 nt
Filed under: Canis lupus familiaris (dog)
Lineage: Eukaryota; Metazoa; Chordata; Mammalia; Carnivora; Canidae
Description: lncRNA (ENSCAFG00030010760.1)
Source: RNAcentral
AAUUAUUUUCCCUCUUUCUUCUGACUAGUAUAUCCAUGGAAUGCACAUAAAAUGAAAGAUCUCUAUAACCAGUUAAUCUCUACAAGUUUUUUUUUUUUUAAAGACUUUAUUUAUUUAUUCAUGAGAGACACACAGAGAGAGGCAGAGACACAGGCAGAGGGAGAAGCAGGCUCCAUGCAGGGAGCCUGACGUGGGACUCGAUCCCCGAUCCCCGGGUCUCCAGGAUCACGCCCUGGGCCUCAGGCAGGAACUAAACUGCUGAGCCACCCAGGGAUCCCUAAUCCCCACAAGUUUUGAUGAGGUGGGGGGAGGGAAUGAAAGUGGGAAAGAGAGAGGGAGGGAGUAGCCCCAAAUACAGAAUGUGAUAAAUAAGAUAAUUACCUUCCUUUUGCAUGGAGAGAAUAAGAAAGAAAAUUUUUUUUUUCCAAACACCAAAAGUACUAGUGGGGGCACCUGGCUGGCUCAGUCAGUAGAGCAUGUGACUCUUAAUCCCAGGGUCACCAGUUCAAGCCCCAUGUUGGGUGUAGAGCUUACUUAAAAAAAAAAAAAAAAAAAAGAAAGAAAGAAAAAAGUACUUAGUGGUUUCAGUUUUAUAACCUCAGCUGGAGGAAAAAAAAAAAAAAACAGAACACAAAAGCUCCCAGGUCCAGCCACUGUAGAUCUCAAAAGGUUGUUUGCUUUUUCAGGUGGCACAAGAAACUUUCUUAAAAAAAAAAAAAAAAAAAAAAAGAAACUUUCUUGAGCGAUAGGAUCUCACAGAAGAGGAGGCACUGCUGGCUGAUGACUAGCCAAAGACUAGUCCCCCUGGAGAAUGAGAGGGAGAGGACCAAGUGCAGAGUGGACUCCUUCUGGAUGUUGUAGUCGGACAGGGUGCACCCAUCUUCUAGCUGUUUGCCGGCAAAGAUCAACCUCUGCUGGUCAGGGGGGAUGCCCUCUUUUUCUUGGAUCUUCCCUUUGACAUUCUCGAUGGUGUCACUGGGCUCCACCGUCCAGGGUGAUGGUCUUACCAGUCAAGGUCUUCACGAAGAUCUGCAUGCCCCCCUGAGGUGAAGGACCAGGUGCAGAGUGGACUCCUUCUGGAUGUUGUAGUCGGACAGGACGGAUGCUUCCAAUUCAAAUUCAGUUACUCCGAUUGUAAUAUCCUGGUUCUCCGGGCUCCUGGGUGGCUCAGUCAGUUAAACACCUGCCUUCGGUUUGGGUCGUAAUUCCCAAAUCCUGGAAUCCAGCCUCCAGUAGGGCUUACCACUCAGUGGGGAGCCUGCUUCUCCCUCUGUCUCUGCCUACCUACCACUCCCCUCUCCUUGUGCUCUCUCUGUCAAAUAAAUAAAUAAAUAAAUAAUAAUAAAUAAAUAAAUAAAGUCUUUAAAAAAUAAAAACAACAACAAAAUAAAAGCCUGGUUCCCAACUCAAACCAUCAUACUUACUCAUUUGCUUUAUCCAAAAUAUAGACAAUAGUUUCAGAAUAAUAAUUGCA